UUCUAUUAAUAACUUAUUAAAAGAGUUGGAAAAUACGAACAAUAGUUUAAACACCAAAGAAUUUGGCGGUAUCUUAUUUAAUUAGAGGAACCUGUCCCAUAAUCGAGUAGCCCACGAAAGUCUUACCUAGCUUUGAAACUCAGUUAGUGUACUGCCGUCUCAAGUAUACCUUUAUGAGAGUAUACAAUAAAUUAUAGUACUAUAAAACGUCAGGUCAAAGUGCAGCUUAUAGUUAGGAUGGAGAUGGGUUACAAACUUAAUAGAGAUAUGGAAAAAUAGAUUAAAAAUAUUUUGAAAGUGGAUUUAAUAGUAAUUAAAUAGAAUUUUAAUGAAUAUAAUACU
RNAcentral lists this ribosomal RNA (342 nucleotides) under Theromyzon tessulatum. RNAcentral's name for it is "partial 12S ribosomal RNA". The record is from RNAcentral. Lineage: Eukaryota; Metazoa; Annelida; Clitellata; Rhynchobdellida; Glossiphoniidae.